Long non-coding RNA from Paramisgurnus dabryanus, 1136 nucleotides. RefSeq lists it as uncharacterized. The record is from RefSeq and is a predicted model, not a curated record. NCBI's taxonomy places the organism in Eukaryota, Metazoa, Chordata, Actinopteri, Cypriniformes, Cobitidae.
AUUGAAUCUGAAUGAGAAACUGCAGAAAGAUGUCAAGCUGAUCUGUAUUGGUGUGAGAGACUAAUGACCUCAUGCCGGAAACUAAGCACUCUGGCACCCUGAGAGAGAAGAGACCUUUUGUUCCCGCACACAGUGGGCCUCUCAACAAUCACCCAGGAAUUUUUCUCACCCAGACAGGCAACAGAUGAAAGGGGCGGAAGGAAAGGCUGGAGAGAUGGUGAAGAGUUAUUGCACCAAUAAGCAACCUUGGACAUCACCAACAAUCACUCUGUGUUGUGGCAUUUGCUCAGACAUUCAGAAACCACAGUUUAGAUGGAAAAGCGGACAAACAGAGUCUCUGUGCUUGAACAGGGCUUCUUUUCUUCAAGAAACACAAACUGUUUUCUUAGCCUCAAAGGUCCAGAACAAUUUGGGUUCUAGUGGACAACAAAAUCUCUAUUACGUCCCCGUUUCCCCCGUCAGUCCAGCGCUGACUCACCCACACACAUCCACACUUGCACCGAGCAGUUCAGGCUUGUCUAUCCAUCUGAAGGAAAACUUUUGAGUUUUCCAGUCACCGGACAAAGCCUCAGUGUGCGCGCACGUACAAUCAAUGUUGAUUUUAACAAACGCCUUCAGUUUUGCGCUGGAAAAUUCAUGCUCGUCCGCGUGCGUGGCCAUAACUGAAAGAUAAGUUCCAUUGCAAACCGCACGGUCGUGGAAAAUAAAUAGUCCCACAGGCGUGCAUACAUAAAGCAAGAGUGCAGCUUUGGCUCGGGCCUGCUGCUAACACAGCUAAUGAAUCUAACCCUGCUGGGCAUUCACUCCGUUAAUGUAAUUACUUCAUGCAGACUUCAUCGAAUUAGACUCAGAUUUCCCUCAAAUGUCCAGACGGGUGGUAAGAGAGAGUGUGUCAAACUGUCUGACAUUGCAUCAAAGGGUGCCACAGUUAGCAGAAUUAAAGAAAAUCUUCUCGACAGACUUUCAUGGUUCGAACUGAAAGGUCGGGAUCAAAAACUAAAAGUGCGAUGGAAUCAUAUUACCAGAGAGACAGAUUGACUGUAGACAUGAUUUGGAAUGCCACUAUGAUGUUGACAUAAUCCUGUCAUUAUGUCGGUUCCUAUAGAUCAACUGGAAAUGCCAAGGUUUCCAGGGGA